GUGCCAUCGGCACAAUCCGAUGCAAAAACUGCAAACUGGGUCCACCGUCAACCACAACGGCACCCGACAGUCCGGAACAGUCUAUACACUACUGUAAAUAUAAACUCGGCAUCCCAAUAUGAGCAUAAAUUUAUUCUACACCAUCCUGGGUAUCCAUCGCCCACAAACUGCAGCGAUACAAUACAAACUACGGCUCCUAGAGCUAGAUCGGAUAGUUUGAGAAAAUGACGGUGUAGAAUCGAUAGUUUUCUUCUAAGUCAAGUUCCAAGUCCAACUGUAUAAUUUUUCUAAAUCACUACUGUAUGCUCUAAAUUUAUAUUUCAAUUAACAUGCAUAUCAAUGAAUUCGAGCUAAAUAACAUGAUAUACAAAGACUAAAAAAUAUACAUGCUGACAUCAACUAGGCUUAGGAGGAAAUCCGUAAAAUUCGGUAAACAUAUCAUUAACCCACCUCAAGCACGAAUCCGACCAA
RNAcentral lists this long non-coding RNA (471 nucleotides) under Ananas comosus (pineapple). Its description in RNAcentral is "long non-coding RNA (ACOM_LNC026982)". Lineage: Eukaryota; Viridiplantae; Streptophyta; Magnoliopsida; Poales; Bromeliaceae. The record is from RNAcentral.